Corticium candelabrum is the source of this 606-nucleotide long non-coding RNA. RefSeq lists it as uncharacterized. The transcript is spliced from 3 exons. Lineage: Eukaryota; Metazoa; Porifera; Homoscleromorpha; Homosclerophorida; Plakinidae. The record is from RefSeq and is a predicted model, not a curated record.
ACAGUAGACCAUUCUCACGUGCACGCAUGGCUCACGAUCAUGAUUUAGUAGUUCGAAAUGUGUUGUUAUGCUAACAGAUCGUGGGAAUUGCGCUUUCUCUGCGAGCAGUUACCACACUGAAAAUCGACUUUCUCGAGAAACUGUUGACUCCAGAAAAGCUUUACGUGAUGCAGUUAUUAUACAAGACGGCAGAGGAUGUGUGAAGAAUAUUGGAAGGUGGAUCAGGGAUUGACAUGUCAAAGUACUCUCUAGCAAAAUCUAGUGACUGCUGUGACAUUUCUUACCAGAUUUUUGAUGUUUGUUUACCAGUUUACAAUGCUUUAUACGCAUAACUCAAUCUUAACCAGUUAUAGUCAUUACCAGUUGGAUAUAACAGUGUACGCUCUAGAUGUUGAAGUAAGUAACAUGAUAAUGUUUUGUUCUUGUAUAUACGUAGUUUCAUUUGUGGUCAGUUUGAGCAUGGUAUACUAUAAGAUACUGUGAAAAAGAGGAAAUUGUGGAGGGAAUCAUGCAGGUUUUGUGCGAUUGAAGCUCAUCGCUAUUCCACAUAUAUCACACAAAUUAAUUUUGCACUAUAAUAGCGCUGUUCCCUGAAAUUGGACAAUG